This 254-nucleotide ribosomal RNA is filed under the name uncultured bacterium. RNAcentral describes it as "partial 16S ribosomal RNA". It matches the Rfam family "Bacterial small subunit ribosomal RNA", at positions 524 to 776 of the family's 1533-position model. The record is from RNAcentral.
UACGAAGGGGGGCUAGCGUUGCUCGGAAUGACUGGGCGUAAAGGGCGCGUAGGCGGCUUGCACCGUCAGAUGUGAAAUUCCUGGGCUUAACCUGGGGGCUGCAUUUGAUACGUGUGGGCUGGAGUGCGGAAGAGGGUCGUGGAAUUCCCAGUGUAGAGGUGAAAUUCGUAGAUAUUGGGAAGAACACCGGUGGCGAAGGCGGCGACCUGGUCCGUGACUGACGCUGAGGCGCGAAAGCGUGGGGAGCAAACAGG